Molecule: ribosomal RNA, 500 nt
Filed under: uncultured bacterium
Lineage: Bacteria
Description: partial 16S ribosomal RNA
Rfam family: Bacterial small subunit ribosomal RNA
Source: RNAcentral
GACGAACGCUGGCGGCGUGCUUAACACAUGCAAGUCGAACGGGUCUGCCCUGUUUUUUGCGGGGUGGGUCCGUGGCGAACGGGUGAGUAACACGUGAGUAACCUGCCCCUCACUUCUGGAUAACCGCUUGAAAGGGUGGCUAAUACGGGGUGUUCUGGCUGUGCCGCAUGGUGUGGCUGGGUAAGAUUCACUUUUGUGGUGUUUUGGUGGGGGAUGGGCUCGCGGCCUAUCAGCUUGUUGGUGGGGUGAUGGCCUGCCAAGGCUUUGACGGGUAGCCGGCCUGGGAGGGUGGGCGGUCACACUGGGACUGAGAUACGGCCCAGACUCCGGCGGGAGGCAGCAGGGGGGGGUAUUGCACAAUGGGCGGAAGCCUGAUGCAGCGACGUCGCGUGAGGGAUGGAGGCCUUCGGGUUGUGAACCUCUUUCGCCGGUGAAGAAGGUCCUGCUCUUUGUGGUGGGGUUGACGGUAGCCGGGUUAUGAAGCGCCGGCUAACUACGUG